This 396-nucleotide unclassified non-coding RNA is filed under the name Hevea brasiliensis (rubber tree). Lineage: Eukaryota; Viridiplantae; Streptophyta; Magnoliopsida; Malpighiales; Euphorbiaceae. The record is from RNAcentral.
GAUUAAGCUAAAAAGAUGGUUACUGAAAAUUUUUAAAUAUUGCAUUUAUUUAUUGGAAUUUUCAAUUGCAUCAUUUGUUGUAUUUCAUGGCUGCAUAUUUGUCCACCUGUUGCUUGCUUUUGUUGGUUAUUUUUCUCUUCAGUUUUGUCUGUAUGUGGAAGGUUCUUGAAUGAUGCAUGCAUUUGAUUUUAUUGUGACAGAGCAAGCCCAGGGCACGUUUUCUGAAUCAUUAUUUUUGCUGCUGCUUCAUUAUUCUUCUCCGCACUGUUCUAUUUGAUUUCAUGCUACUAAGUUAUGAACGAGAUGAGUGAUCUAUGUAGAGCAACCAUCUGUUCAUUCAAUUUAACAAUACCAAUACAUUUUUAUGGGCUUACCCAUUGAUGCCUUUUGUUUUAA